This 75-nucleotide transfer RNA is filed under the name Microbotryum lychnidis-dioicae p1A1 Lamole. Its description in RNAcentral is "tRNA-Ser (TGA) (tRNA-Ser-TGA-15-1)". It matches the Rfam family "tRNA". Rfam says of the family: Transfer RNA (tRNA) molecules are approximately 80 nucleotides in length. Their secondary structure includes four short double-helical elements and three loops (D, anti-codon, and T loops). Further hydrogen bonds mediate the characteristic L-shaped molecular structure. tRNAs have two regions of fundamental functional importance: the anti-codon, which is responsible for specific mRNA codon recognition, and the 3' end, to which the tRNAs corresponding amino acid is attached (by aminoacyl-tRNA synthetases). tRNAs cope with the degeneracy of the genetic code in two manners: having more than one tRNA (with a specific anti-codon) for a particular amino acid; and 'wobble' base-pairing, i.e. permitting non-standard base-pairing at the 3rd anti-codon position. Lineage: Eukaryota; Fungi; Basidiomycota; Microbotryomycetes; Microbotryales; Microbotryaceae. The record is from RNAcentral.
GGGGCCGGAUAGCUUAUUUGGUCAAAGCUUUUCCAAUGAAUGGAAGCGACCCAGGUUCGACUCCUGGUCUUCUUU